AAUUAAUGAGCUUGAAUAAGCUUAUAUUUUGAAAAUAUAAGAAAGAAUUAAAAUUUUCUAUUAAUUU
RNAcentral lists this transfer RNA (67 nucleotides) under Cyrtanaspis phalerata. Its description in RNAcentral is "tRNA-Ser". Lineage: Eukaryota; Metazoa; Arthropoda; Insecta; Coleoptera; Scraptiidae. The record is from RNAcentral.